CAGCACCAGGUCCUGUGGUUGCAUUCCUGUUUUGGAACAGAACCAUGCCCCCUGAUGUAUCCGGCGUCUCUCUCUUUCCUGAUCCUGAAGCAGCAAGUCCACGCUCCCUUUCCCUCUGAGGAUUGCCGCCAAGAAUCAGAAAUGACUGAGGGAGAACAUGCGAGGAGAACGCGGCUCUGCAGUGCAGUGGGGUGCCCUGCGAUGUAUCGCUGGCCGGAAGUCCACUCCUCGGGAGCCGGUCACACAGUGAGACCUCCAGGCGAAGCCACAGGGAUUCAUGCAGGAGGCAUCAUGGGACAGAAGGUUUCCCACAUCGAUGCUUCUGGAACUCAGGAACUGAUCUCCAGGUCAUUUAGAUAGGACUAGAGUCUUCCCUGGAAUGACUGCCUCCGCCCCAGGCUGAAAGCCCUGCCCUGGCCAGGCUAAUUCCCAGAGCGGGCUGCCCCUGGGCGCAGCUGGUUUCCUGAAGCUCCAGCUGCCUCUGAUCCUGUUUGCAGGCCUGGUGCUGUGGCCUCAUCUGUCAGUUGUGUUCUUUCUUUCAGGAUAAUCAUUAAUAAAGGCUGCAGUCUUUUGAAUGAGAGCGUGUGUGUGUGUGUGUGUGUGUGUGUGUGUGUGUGUGUGUAUGUGUCCAGGUAGGACAAAUGCUUCUCAAGGGACGUUCCUUCCCAAUGGAGGAGGUCAAGACGGUUGCCCAGGGUGGCCCCUCCUGCUCCCCUUGGGAACACAGUGUAUUUGGACUCAGCAGGUAAAUGCUGGUCUUCAUUUCUCAGGUCUUUUUCAUUUGUUCAUAGCCUAGCUGUUCCUAACGAGAAAUAUUUUAUCCCCCACAUCAAAUCCCCUAAUUCCCUCACCAUCAACGUGUAGCCAGGGAAACUGCACUGCCAGCCAGGCAGCAAACUCAGCUGAGGAAAAUUAGUCCUCAUCAGGCAACAGACCCCACUUAGAAACAGAACUGGCACGUCGAAUGACUUGAGCCUGCCGCCUGUCGGGGGAUUUACCAUCCACCUGAUCCAGCUCGUGAAAUAAUUUCCCUGAUUCAGCUUUCAAGUCCCAGCCUGCCCUCGUCCCAUCUUGUCCCACAUCCAGACGAGCCAUGAGAAAGCCCUGGCUCUCCCUCCCCUGGUGCCAGGGAGAAGUUCUAAGCCUGCAGCUCUGCGUGUGGGAAUCUUCAGCCCAGCUCCACCCCUAAGUGCAAUAAAACCCAAAGCCAGUUGCCCCGGCUUGCUCUCUCAAGCCAUCUUUGGACCUGCCUGAGAGUCUGCCCCGCUCCCUCCAGAAAGCCUCAUCCUGUGACUAACGAAUCUCUGCACCCUUUCUUGGUGCCUGUGUGGGGGAGGGGAGCGGGUGGAUGUCACCCUGCUGUGCCAUCGUAAGACAGAAAUUCUUGAGAUCAGGCAGACCUCCUCAAAAGUCAACAGGCAUAACUGAGGGAAGUUCAGACACUCAGUCAAGACCUGUGAUUCGGCUCCUGGUUAGAAGAUAAAUGGAAUGAACUAGAAGCUCGCUAAUUUCACAACUUCUACACCCAUCACUACAUCACUACGUUAAAUUCCCACCAUUUACUCUUGACAGUCCUGCUAACAUAUAUCAAAAAAAGGAAUUCAAACAAGAAAAAUGCUGUCUGUGCGCAGAUGACUUAUUCUAUUAGCACUACUUGAGCAUGAAAUAAAUGGAAGCUCCUGAGAUAGCUAACUCUAAAGAGGAAAACGAGUAAAAUAUUAUUUCAUUAAAAAAAUAGAAUAAUUUACCACUAUCCAAAUAUCAUAAUUACGGUGACUGAAUUAAAUGGAAGAGUGCUUACUUUGUUAGACUGGACAUUACAUUGCAAAUAUUCAACCUGUUUUGACUUAGAGGGCUGUCAGUUUCAUGGGGUUCAAACUUAAAGUUUGUGGAAAAAGCGGGACGCUGCAGUCUUCACUGUCAUUGCAGUGGGAAACUGUGAUGUGAUUUUACGUAUGUUUGUGAACAAAGGCGGGAGAGGAAAUAGCAAAAUGGAGAUGUCAACUGUUUGGUUCAAUAGUAGUUGGAAUUUUUCCUCAGAAAAAGUGUCUGUUCCUUUAUUGUAUAUUAUUCUCCAUUUAAAAAAGAUGUAUUCAUUAUAUAACUGCCAUUUGGAAAAGGAUUAACAUGCCACUUUGUAUCCCAUUUAUGUGGGCUGCAUGGGUUAUUGAGUGCUUUCCCUGCUCAAAUCCUUUUGGCAUUAGGAGGUAGAGAGAAAACUCUUAAAGUUUGUAAUUCACCAUCGACAUGAGGUCAGCGAGCAGAGAACGCAGCUGAGAGAGUUGAAUGUCCAUGAGGAAUAAUAAAAUGUGUAUCUGGUGACCUCAUUGACGGAUUGUGCUAGAAACUGGCUUAGAUGCUCAGCGACACUUUUCUCUUUCUGGCCUCCCGGGAGGACAGCAUAGCCCAGACUCCCAUGUGUUUAACUUGGAUCAUGCAAAUAACUUGUUGCCGUUGGAAAAUGAGAAGUAACUGUGAAAUCGUGUCUUCGUCAGGCUUCCUCACGUGGGCUCCUUCCUGGGGAGGGGGGCUUCUUGUUCCUCAGGGGUUCCAGUUUUCCCACCUCCCCUGGAUUUAGUCCUCUGUUGGGGUUGCAGGCUCACAUGAUGGCCAGACAGUGUCUUCAUUAGGGUGGGAUUUAGUGACCCUGAACCACUGGCCGUCAGGCUGGUCGUCUCCUGUUCACACAUUUGGGCCUGGGUCUGGCUGCCAUCAUGGCCAGAAGGGAGGCAGGGGCAGGUGCUGCCCUGGUUCCUGAGACUAAGACAUGGAUAACAGCCUGUCAGCUUACGUCACAAUCUUGAAAACAUGUUGACUACACUCUCCACUUUUGCCUGAGGGUGAUACCAACCCUGAUAUCAGUUUCCUCACAUUAAACCCAGCAUACAUGGAGUUAAAACCAAAACCCUCAUUCCCUGCUUACUCCCUGGCUUCCUGGCUCCAGAAUCCACUAUCUUCCAUGGAGACAGACACCGUCAAGGACAAGCACCUGGAUUCAUUAUCUCCUCCCCACAAAGAGAUACAGGCUGGUGGGAAAGUUGCUGACCAGCAAGGUCAUGGGCUCCCUCCUCUCUGCAAGUGUCUCAAGGCCAAAGACAGGCUGGUAGGAAAGUUCUGACCAGCAAGGCUAUACACUCCCUCUCCCCUACCUAAAACCCCAAAUAAAAACCCUUCCCGGACAUGGCACCGCUCGUCAGGCCACGUUGAAGUGGCAUCCCAUAUCCCACAACUAGAAGGACCUGCAACUAAGAUACACAACUGUGUGUGUGUGGGGGCGGG
Molecule: long non-coding RNA, 3279 nt
Filed under: Equus asinus (donkey)
Lineage: Eukaryota; Metazoa; Chordata; Mammalia; Perissodactyla; Equidae
Description: lncRNA (ENSEASG00005023865.1)
Source: RNAcentral